CUUUUGCUUGCGUUAGGGAUAGUAGCGAAAAGCCCACAGUCUCGUCUUUUGGGACGAGACGAGGACUUGUAGCGGAUAGCCCGACCCAUU
Molecule: unclassified non-coding RNA, 90 nt
Filed under: Flavobacterium gillisiae
Lineage: Bacteria; Pseudomonadati; Bacteroidota; Flavobacteriia; Flavobacteriales; Flavobacteriaceae
Description: Flavo-1 RNA
Rfam family: Flavo-1 RNA
Source: RNAcentral